GAGUUUGAUCCUGGCUCAGAAUGAACGCUGGCGGAUGCCUAACACAUGCAAGUCGAACGAAGGCUUCGGCCUUAGUGGCGCACGGGUGCGUAACGCGUGGGAAUCUGCCCUCAGGUUCGGAAUAACAGGAGAAAUUGCUGUAAUACCGGAUGAUAUCGCGAGAUCAAAGAUUUAUCGCCUGAGGAUGAGCCCGCGUAGGAUUAGCUAGUUGGUGUGGUAAAGGCGCACCAAGGCGACGAUCCUUAGCUGGUCUGAGAAGGAUG
RNAcentral lists this ribosomal RNA (263 nucleotides) under uncultured bacterium. RNAcentral describes it as "partial 16S ribosomal RNA". It matches the Rfam family "Bacterial small subunit ribosomal RNA", at positions 9 to 302 of the family's 1533-position model. The record is from RNAcentral.